GUUCUCAUUGAAUGGCCGUCUAAUCUGUAGAGAGUAGAAAUCAAAUAGAAACCAAUUAAAAAUAUGGGUGUGAAACCAAAAGCGAAAUGCAUGCGAGUUUUGGAUUAGGAAGUUUGGAUGUUUCUGUUGAGGGAGAUUUCAUAUGAAAGUCUUCGAAUGAAAACAAAAUGGCCAUUUAAAAAAAUAGCAAGGAAGACUUAAAAAAGACCCAGUUGCAGAGGAAAUUGCAUUAUAAAUGGUGUUUGUGUAUGAGUUUUUUAUGGAGAAAUUUAAUUAUUUAAAUAAUUUGCUGGAGGAGAAAACGUAUGUGUUUUGGAACUAAAUUAGUGUCAAAGGGAGUAUUCAACGGGAAUUAGAAAAAGACCCAGUUGCAGGGGAAAUGGAGACAACUUGCCAGAAAGAAACGUAAAGGGAAAGAAAAUUAUUGUGAAUAGAAUAUAAAAUGCAAGACUAAUAAGAGAGACAGAUAGAGAGAGUGGCCACUGGCUCAGGUUGAUCGUUUUUAA
RNAcentral lists this unclassified non-coding RNA (506 nucleotides) under Hevea brasiliensis (rubber tree). Lineage: Eukaryota; Viridiplantae; Streptophyta; Magnoliopsida; Malpighiales; Euphorbiaceae. The record is from RNAcentral.